GAAAAAGCUGCAAGAGAGGAAACACAUUGUUGGAAUGACUGGUGAUGGUGUCAACGAUGCUCCUGCUUUGAAGAAAGCUGACAUUGGUAUUGCGGUGGCCGAUGCAACAGAUGCUGCUCGUGGUGCUUCAGAUAUUGUUCUCACCGAACCUGGAUUGAGUGUUAUCAUCAGUGCAGUGCUCACUAGUAGAGCUAUCUUCCAGAGAAUGAAGAACUAUACCGUGAGCAUUCUCUUAGUUAUAUUCUUAUAUUAUACCCACUACUUCUGUUCCUUGGUAGAAACUAAUUACUCUUUUUUCCUGCUUGUGACAGAUUUAUGCAGUCUCAAUCACAAUCCGUAUUGUCGUAAGUAGACACCCCAUUUAUCUAUCUCUUGUGUACCAUGUUUUUUCUUUUGUGUACUGAUCAUAUUGCGUUACAAUUUGCAGUUUGGUUUCAUGCUUAUUGCUCUGAUAUGGGAAUUUGACUUCUCAGCUUUCAUGGUUCUGAUUAUUGCCAUCCUUAAUGACGGUGAGCAAAUGGCUUUAGUUUACUAUAUAGCCUCCUAAUACUUUAUAUGCAGGAUCUUAUGUAUAUUUUUCUAUCUUGUAGGUACUAUCAUGACAAUCUCAAAGGACAGAGUUAAGCCAUCUCCCACACCUGAUAGCUGGAAGCUCAGAGAAAUUUUCGCCACUGGAAUUGUGUUGGGAGGUUACCAAGCUGUUAUGAGUGUGAUUUUCUUCUGGGCCAUUCACAAGACUGACUUUUUCUCGGUAAUCAUCAUCACCAUCUCUCUUUUGUUUCUUUAUUGGUAAAGGCGCUUCAGGUACUAAUAUAGAUAAAUAUUGCCUGAGAAACUAAACUUCACUCUUUGAUUUGCAGGACAAAUUUGGUGUGAGGUCAAUCAGGGACAACAACGAUGAGCUAAUGGGUGCUGUGUACCUACAAGUUAGUAUCAUCAGCCAAGCGCUUAUCUUCGUCACGAGAUCAAGGAGUUGGUCGUUCGUUGAACGUCCUGGGGCGCUUCUGAUGAUUGCCUUCGUCAUUGCACAGCUUGUAAGAACAAUCAAACACUCAUCUUUUCAGGAAUUCUAUCUGGUACACUUUGAAGAAAAGAAAUCCAUUGAAUGAAUUCCAUCUGACUCUUCUUCCCAAACGCAGGUUGCGACUUUGAUAGCAGUGUAUGCGGACUGGACAUUUGCAAAGGUGAAGGGUAUCUGGAAUGGGAACCAACAUGUAUCCGUCUGCCGCUCUUCUCGGUACUGACAAGGACUCGAACAUUGCGUCCAUUCCUGUUGAGGAGUUGAUCGAGAAGGCUGAUGGGUUUGCUGGCGUCUUUCCAGGUUAUAACUUGCUUUCGAUUUUAAACCUUAGUUAAAGAAGUUUUGUUAUAUUGAUCCAAGCUUCUUAUGUUUCUUAUUGCAGAACACAAAUACGAGAUUGUGAAAAAGCUGCAAGAGAGGAAACACAUUGUUGGAAUGACUGGUGAUGGUGUCAACGAUGCUCCUGCUUUGAAGAAAGCUGACAUUGGUAUUGCGGUGGCCGAUGCAACAGAUGCUGCUCGUGGUGCUUCAGAUAUUGUUCUCACCGAACCUGGAUUGAGUGUUAUCAUCAGUGCAGUGCUCACUAGUAGAGCUAUCUUCCAGAGAAUGAAGAACUAUACCGUGAGCAUUCUCUUAGUUAUAUUCUUAUAUUA
RNAcentral lists this long non-coding RNA (1674 nucleotides) under Brassica napus (rape). RNAcentral's name for it is "long non-coding RNA (BNAP_LNC022633)". The record is from RNAcentral. Lineage: Eukaryota; Viridiplantae; Streptophyta; Magnoliopsida; Brassicales; Brassicaceae.